CCCUGUAGCUUAGUUGGUAGAGCAUGGUGUUUGCAACACCAGGGUUGUGGGUUCAAUUCCCACAGGGG
RNAcentral lists this transfer RNA (68 nucleotides) under Salmo salar (Atlantic salmon). It matches the Rfam family "tRNA". Rfam says of the family: Transfer RNA (tRNA) molecules are approximately 80 nucleotides in length. Their secondary structure includes four short double-helical elements and three loops (D, anti-codon, and T loops). Lineage: Eukaryota; Metazoa; Chordata; Actinopteri; Salmoniformes; Salmonidae. The record is from Rfam by way of RNAcentral.